Small nucleolar RNA from Elaeis guineensis (African oil palm), 112 nucleotides. RefSeq annotates it as small nucleolar RNA U19. NCBI's taxonomy places the organism in Eukaryota, Viridiplantae, Streptophyta, Magnoliopsida, Arecales, Arecaceae. The record is from RefSeq and is a predicted model, not a curated record.
AUCUGGCUUAGUUAGGAGGCAUAAAUUGAUGGUUUUAUUCAACCUUCUCAGGCCUUUUUGAGGGGACUCCACUCAUAAUCUUAUGGUGUCCCCCAAGCAGCCUUGGACAUUU